CAACUACUUCAAGGUCUCAGACGCUAUUAGUGCGCACCCUGCUAACUAGCUAGCCAUUUUACACCGGUUACACCCGACUUGAAAAAAAUCCAAAUAUACACAUUGCGAGAUAUUUGGCGAAAUAACAGACAUGCCAAUAUUUCCCCCAUAGGAAACAAUGGGAGGAUCGCAGUUACAAUAUUAUUUUUGUUGUUUACAUUUUGUUUAUAUGUUUACAUGUUAACUAUAAAACAACGUGAGCAGGUCUCAUUGCCAACAAUAGCGAAGAACGUUGAACAAUAAGCUGGGAAUAGAACGUUCGGAAGUCGAGUUGGUGCCACGGUGCUCAAUAGAACUAAUAGGAGCUGGCAGGGUGAAAAAUAAAUAAGGCCUGUUUUUUCACGAUUACUUCAAAACGAUGGUAAGCAGCUGGGAAAUAUGGUCAUAUUAUGAAACUGGAGCAAAACUGUCUGAAUUUACAAACUGACAAAUGUUCUCUGAAUGGAAACACCAUAAUAUUAAUCAAAUAUUAAAUCAGCUAAAUGUCAUAAAAUCAAUCCAAUAUACUAUUAUUACAACAGGUUUUAAAUUCUCUGGUAAUGCCAAUACGGAAUACUAUCAAAUGCUUCUCAAAGAUGCCCUCUGGUGGUCAAACUAGCAAUAACGUGCAGUAACAGAAGAAGUGGCUGAGAAUUAAAUGACGUGCCACAGAAGGCUGCAGGGGCACACAGGGUGUGGUGCAAUAUGAUGCAACUUUUAAAGGAGGAACCACUGUAAGUCUAUGUAAGGGGGUGAGUGCCAUGAGCCUCCUAGGUUUUGUAUUGAGGUCAGUGUACCCAGAGGAGGACAGAAGCUAGCUGUCAACCAGCUACACCAUGGUGCUACCCUACAGAGUGCUGCUGAGGCUACUGUAGACCUUCAUUGCAAAAUGGUCAGUGGAAGCGAGGGAAGUGAUGUGGAGAGUCAUGGCUCCGAAGCAGAAAGAAGGGGGGAAAAGGACUUAGAUGAUAGGAGGGAUAGAGGUGUGGAGGGAGCGAGGAAGAGGAGGGAGAAGCGAGUGGAGUGAGAGGAACAUAGAGAGGAAGAGGAACAUGGAGAGAAGGAGAGCACACCAGAGAGGGGAGCCUAUGUUUUCAUGGAGUGCUUCUCCAAUUCUCACCAUUCACAAUUGUACCACACGGCUUACUUUGUGCAAUUUGUCUUGUUGCAUUUGGUUUCGAAAAGUGCAUGUACCUACAUAGUAACUGCUCAAAGCGGUUGCAUGGCAUAUUGCUACCUAUUUAUGGUACUCUGAGGGCGGCGUCAGUAGACCAGUGCGAGGCCCUUUCCCAGAAAUCGCAGGCGCUGGUCCCUGAAGACAUUCAAAAUGCAGCUUGUACAUUCACUUGGCUUCAGUGUCGUUACUCCAUCAUUUGAACAUAGGUCCACUCCCUGGUGAAGUUUGAAGGGCGCAAGAUGGUGUGCAUCUGGAGUGGAUACAGGGCAAUGAGUGGGAGAUGUGUAGAAACCUCCUUUGGGUGCUCUACGUGUUCUGUGACACUUUGCAGGAGGGGGCAGUGUUUCCAGAAGUUCCACAACAUGUUGUAGGCUAAAUGCAACCACUAAAGUGACAGUGUGAAAUAUGAAUUUGUCCUACAAAUCUUAUAGGGAUACUAAAAAUGUGUUUUGUAUCUUCUCUCUAUUUGUCUGCAUUCACUGAAUUGUUGUCAAAGUAGGCUACUAUUUCUACAUUUUGUUUCAUGCCUGGUUUGUACUAAAUCUCAUUGAGAGAGAUUAUUUACAUUUUGAAUAUCUCUGAAUAGUUAGAAGUAAGAAUUGUUGUCAAUCAAAAAGCCUACUUUGUGUGAGUUUUGAAAUACUUUCUGAAUAUUGUCCUCUGGUCACAUUUUGGAUAACUGUUUCAAUAUACAAUUUAAAUUCUCUAGUUUGAGUGUUAAAUGUUUUUUGGGAGACACAUGAGUGUUUCUCCUAUUGACAUGAAUGUGGUGUCAUAUUAAAGAAGAGGUAGUGGUCUUUAAAACUAA
Long non-coding RNA from Oncorhynchus mykiss (rainbow trout), 2003 nucleotides. RefSeq lists it as uncharacterized. NCBI's taxonomy places the organism in Eukaryota, Metazoa, Chordata, Actinopteri, Salmoniformes, Salmonidae. The record is from RefSeq and is a predicted model, not a curated record.